GCCUAGCCCAGAUUGCAGCGAAAACAUGGAAGUGAAAAAUAAUAUUGUUUUCUUGCCUGAAAGAGCGACCAAAGUAAGCUCCUUUUAGGCAAUUAAAAACAAAUUAUUUUCACUGACAGGUUGUAGCGAAAAGCUGGAAAAAGC
This 144-nucleotide small RNA is filed under the name Flavobacterium sp. 120. RNAcentral describes it as "Flavo-1 RNA". It matches the Rfam family "Flavo-1 RNA". Lineage: Bacteria; Pseudomonadati; Bacteroidota; Flavobacteriia; Flavobacteriales; Flavobacteriaceae. The record is from RNAcentral.